Long non-coding RNA from Drosophila montana, 1534 nucleotides. RefSeq lists it as uncharacterized. Lineage: Eukaryota; Metazoa; Arthropoda; Insecta; Diptera; Drosophilidae. The record is from RefSeq and is a predicted model, not a curated record. The transcript is spliced from 2 exons.
ACACUUAACAAGUUCACUUGAUUAUUAAAACAAACAUACUCUUGUUUAUUGUUCAACCAGUGUCUUAUUAGUUACAAUUAAAAUCUAAUUUACGCAUAUUUACAACUCGCAUUCGCAGAGGCUACGAUCUAUUGUAUGCGGCAACAAGUUGUUAUAUGACUGCAAAUCAUAUCCACUUGAAUGCGAGGCAACACGUGGAUUUCUUGAUAGCCGAUCACUUAUCGUAACUGUAACUGGAAUAUACAUACAUACAUAUGUAUGGACAGUAAAUCACACACACACACGCACACAUACAUAUUUAUGUGCACACGCACACAUUUUCAGAAUUCGCCUCGAAUUGCCUAGCUGAAAUUCCAACAGAGAGCAACAACAAAACUGAUUGAAUUUACUUGGCGUCAGCGCCGGAGUUGGACGCCGGAGUAAACUGAGAGCUCCGAGUAAACAAAAGUCGCAAGCUUUUUGUUGAAACGAAGCUGGGUGUCAGGCGAGACCAAAAUGUUGUAGAAAAAAACAAAAAAAAAAAACAAUCAAAUCAGCAAAAAGUGAAAGAAAACAAAUUAACAAAACCGGCAAAUUUUGCGGCAUACGUGACAAUUAAGCAACUAUAAAUGGCGGCUAUGGGAUUGUUUUUUUUUUCUCUGUCUCUGCUGCAGAGAACCGUCGCAGCGCUCUCUCCGCUCAGCGGGGGUGAAAGUGCGCGUGCAACAUUGUUGGAAUAUAGGCGCUAGGAUAUACCGAAACUACAACUGGUUUAUGAAAUUCCAAAAUGAGUGAACUUGAAUUGAUAAACAUCAUCUGUGAUAAGGCAAAUGCGUAGCUAAAACAGAUUGAUACGAAGAAAACAAAAUGGCAUAAUCAGCUGAUGGUUAGCAUAACGUAAACGCACACGCCACCACAAGUAUGCGAGACACGUACAUAUAAUCGCAAGCAUGGCCAAAAAUAUAGACACGGUCACAUUCAUAAAAAGGCUAGAAUCUCUUUAUUUGCCUAGCUGAAACACUUAAAUGUCAACCGAUUAUGUAAUCAAGCAUAAAGCAAACGCAUUGUCUGCUGCCAACUCGAUGGCAAAUUGAUUUCUGUUAAAGAGCGGGGCACACUGUUACGUUCAGGUGCACUGGCAGCGUUGCCACAGCAAUGCAACACUUUCUAACCAAUUCUGACAGAAAAUUGUAUAAUAGCUGCUGUUUAAGAAAAACACACACUUACCCCAGGCAAUUGGCGAUGCAUCUGCUAAUGGCGAGCAUAUAUUCAAAACAAUAAACAAGACAGCUACACCAAACUGUUGCGAUGAACACAAUUUCAUUUUAUAUUUGAUGCGCGAAAAAUUGAAAUUACAGUGGAGAAUUGCAAAUGGAUGCACGAAUUUUAUUGUACGGUUAUUCCUCCUUCUGGCAAGUGCAAUUUGAGCUGGAAGUCAGAGUAAAUGUCGAGCGGGAAGCAUGUGCUGUCUAUUCUUACGUGAAUAUUCACUGAGGGGUUUUAAAAGAAACCGACCCAACGUAGUGCACAACCGAAUAACUUAUCAUUUACUAAA